Enterococcus pallens ATCC BAA-351 is the source of this 85-nucleotide non-coding RNA. NCBI's taxonomy places the organism in Bacteria, Bacillati, Bacillota, Bacilli, Lactobacillales, Enterococcaceae. The record is from Rfam.
GGCUAGGACAAUGUCGGGCUUGUGAAUUGUGUCAGGUCUGGAAGGAAGCAGCACUAAGCAGGAUCCGGCAUGUGUCUGAAAUUAA